CCUACGGGAGGCAGCAGUAGGGAAUAUUGCUCAAUGGGGGAAACCCUGAAGCAGCAACGCCGCGUGGAGGAUGAAGGUUUUCGGAUUGUAAACUCCUUUUGUUAGAGAAGAUAAUGACGGUAUCUAACGAAUAAGCACCGGCUAACUCCGUGCCAGCAGCCGCGGUAAUACGGAGGGUGCAAGCGUUACUCGGAAUCACUGGGCGUAAAGAGCGCGUAGGCGGGAUAGCAAGUCAGAUGUGAAAUCCUAUGGCUUAACCAUGGAACUGCAUUUGAAACUGUUAUGCUAGAGUGUGGGAGAGGUAGGUGGAAUUCUUGGUGUAGGGGUAAAAUACGUAGAGAUCAAGAGGAAUACUCAUUGCGAAGGCGACCUGCUAGAACAUAACUGACGCUGAUGCGCGAAAGCGUGGGGAGCAAACAGGAUUAGAUACCCCAGUAGUC
Molecule: ribosomal RNA, 440 nt
Filed under: uncultured bacterium
Lineage: Bacteria
Description: partial 16S ribosomal RNA
Rfam family: Bacterial small subunit ribosomal RNA
Source: RNAcentral